CCUACGGGAGGCAGCAGUGGGGAAUAUUGCACAAUGGGCGAAAGCCUGAUGCAGCGACGCCGCGUGAGGGAUGACGGCCUUCGGGUUGUAAACCUCUUUCAGCAGGGAAGAAGCGAAAGUGACGGUACCUGCAGAAGAAGCGCCGGCUAACUACGUGCCAGCAGCCGCGGUAAUACGUAGGGCGCAAGCGUUGUCCGGAAUUAUUGGGCGUAAAGAGCUCGUAGGCGGCUUGUCACGUCGGUUGUGAAAGCCCGGGGCUUAACCCCGGGUCUGCAGUCGAUACGGGCAGGCUAGAGUGUGGUAGGGGAGAUCGGAAUUCCUGGUGUAGCGGUGAAAUGCGCAGAUAUCAGGAGGAACACCGGUGGCGAAGGCGGAUCUCUGGGCCAUUACUGACGCUGAGGAGCGAAAGCGUGGGGAGCGAACAGGAUUAGAUACCCUGGUAGUCCACGCCGUAAACGGUGGGAACUAGGUGUUGGCGACAUUCCACGUCGUCGGUGCCGCAGCUAACGCAUUAAGUUCCCCGCCUGGGGAGUACGGCCGCAAGGCUAAAACUUAAAGGAAUUGAACGG
RNAcentral lists this ribosomal RNA (569 nucleotides) under uncultured bacterium. Its description in RNAcentral is "bacterial SSU rRNA". It matches the Rfam family "Bacterial small subunit ribosomal RNA", at positions 338 to 917 of the family's 1533-position model. The record is from RNAcentral.